This 212-nucleotide long non-coding RNA is filed under the name Olea europaea (common olive). Its description in RNAcentral is "long non-coding RNA (OEUR_LNC010431)". Lineage: Eukaryota; Viridiplantae; Streptophyta; Magnoliopsida; Lamiales; Oleaceae. The record is from RNAcentral.
GUUAACGGCGUCCCAGUGGCAAAAGUGCUUGUCGACAAUGGAGCAGCUAUAAACACCAUUCCAUCUAGGAUGAUGAAAAAGUUCGCAAAGACAGAGGGUGACAUGAUUCCUACAGAAGUCAUCCUCACUAGCUUCAAUGGAGGAGCAACUUCAGCUAAGGGAGUUAUGCCAUUGGACAUAACUAUAGGUACGACUACUAGGACCACUGUCUU